Amblyraja radiata (thorny skate) is the source of this 1456-nucleotide long non-coding RNA. RefSeq lists it as uncharacterized. The record is from RefSeq and is a predicted model, not a curated record. Lineage: Eukaryota; Metazoa; Chordata; Chondrichthyes; Rajiformes; Rajidae. The transcript has 2 exons.
AAGCCUUCGUCAUUAAGAACCAACUAAGAUGGGUCGGUCAUCAUGUUGGUCGGGUGGAAGACGAGCGUCUACCAAAGGAAACCUUCUACUCCCAGCUUAAAGAAGGAAAACGUAAAAGAGGUGGACAAAAGAAGAGAUUCAAAGACGUCUUAAAAGCCAGCAUGAAGAAAUGUGAAAUCGACAUCGACAAUUGGAAACCAAUGCUAAGGACAGGAAACUCUGGCGAACCAUAACCCAAGAAGGAACAGUGACCUUUGAAGCCAACAGAUGUGCAGAAUUAGAAGAAAAGAGAAGAAAACGAAAAUAGAGGCAGCUACAACCAAAGUCUGAUCUGCCAUCUGGAAUUACCUGAAUGUUGAAGUACUUUCAAAAGCCAGGAUUGGACUCAUAAGCCACCUGAGAGUCCAUAAAAACAACGGAACGUAGACCAUCAUCCUCGAGGGAUUGCCACGAUGACGAGACUUGAAAGGCCAAAUGGCCGAAUUCUGCUCCUGUCACUGAUGAACUUCUUCUUCUUGUGUAUGGCGUGCACAGCCUAAAGUUGCAAGACAACUUAUUCUGUUUGAUCUUCUGUUUGCGCACGCCAGGUUGAUUGCAUUCGCCGAAACAGGGUGGACCACGUGAAGGUUGCAAUCUCCCACCCCAACCGAUGAACUUGUAAUCAACUACACUCACAAAUGUUUUAGUCCUGAUUUCAAAUCACACUUGGGCAGGAAUUGGUUGUAAAGUUGAGAUUCAGUCAUUCUACCCUAUUCCUAUUUACCAACAUUUUUUCAAAGGUUUCAUCAACAUUUGAAAGUUGUAAAUUAAUGGUGUUAUCGGAGCCACGACAAGCCUUAACUAUAGCCCAGGGGGAAAUCUAGACUAUUGGUAAAUAUGGAAGAUUACUUCCUUGUGAGGCAGGGAAAGCCUGACAUCACUGCAAAUCUUUGGCUUUGUCCUGCCCAUAUCUCGGCCUGGAUCUUCUGCCUCAUAUCCUUCCUCUUUGUACAAGUGAUAUGGAUGCUGUGGCCAGCUGUCAUUACUGAUCACUUCCACUGGCUAGGCAAUAACUUUUAUUUGAGACUAGCUGGACAACAAAUAACUCUUGUGUUAAAACAUAGUUGUCUUUUGUUUUGAGAUUUGGGUAGAAGUGCAGCCUUUUAAGUACAAGAUACCUGUUACACAUGAGCUCCCCACGCUUCACCUCAGGCCGAGCUGCCAGAGUGGCCUCAGGACAGUUUCUUCAGAGGAUACUUUGAGUGCGCCAACCUCCAGCUGUUAAACAGUUCCUGACAAACAUUUGAAGUUACAGCCUUCGGGAGGGACAUUUUCUGCUGCUAUUUAUAUUGUAGUUUAUUUGAAUUUUUAUUGUUGCUUUAAUUGAAGUUGCAUUGCUAUUCUAUGGCUAUCUGCUCAUUGCUAUAUACUCAUUGCUUGAUUGUUGCUUUAAUAAAUGUUUGUGCAUUAAAUGUUA